UACGGAGGGUGCGAGCGUUGUCCGGAAUUACUGGGCGUAAAGCGUGCGCAGGCGGUUUGUUAAGUCCGCUGUGAAAUCCCCGAGCUCAACUUGGGAAUUGCAGUGGAUACUGGCAAGCUGGAGUAUGGUAGAGGAAGGUGGAAUUCCCGGUGUAGCAGUGAAAUGCGUAGAGAUCGGGAGGAACACCAGUGGCGAAGGCGGCCUUCUGGACCAAUACUGACGCUCAUGCACGAAAGCGUGGGGAGCAAACAGG
This 253-nucleotide ribosomal RNA is filed under the name uncultured bacterium. RNAcentral's name for it is "partial 16S ribosomal RNA". It matches the Rfam family "Bacterial small subunit ribosomal RNA", at positions 524 to 776 of the family's 1533-position model. The record is from RNAcentral.